This 408-nucleotide ribosomal RNA is filed under the name uncultured Methylomirabilota bacterium. RNAcentral describes it as "bacterial SSU rRNA". It matches the Rfam family "Bacterial small subunit ribosomal RNA", at positions 1027 to 1434 of the family's 1533-position model. The record is from RNAcentral. Lineage: Bacteria; Methylomirabilota (SeqCode).
CGUGGAGACAGGUGGUGCAUGGCUGUCGUCAGCUCGUGUCGUGAGAUGUUGGGUUAAGUCCCGCAACGAGCGCAACCCUCACCCCUUGUUGCCAUCAGGUCAUGCUGGGGACUCUAGGGGAACUGCCCCGGUCAACGGGGAGGAAGGCGGGGAUGACGUCAAGUCAUCAUGCCCCUUACGCCCUGGGCUACACACGUGCUACAAUGGCCGGUACAAAGGGAUGCGAGACCGCGAGGUGUAGCCAAACCCAAAAAGCCGGUCUAAGUUCAGAUUGGAGUCUGCAACUCGACUCCAUGAAGGAGGAAUCGCUAGUAAUCGCCCAUCAGCACGGGGCGGUGAAUACGUUCCCGGGCCUUGUACACACCGCCCGUCACACUACGAAAGUCAGCUGUACUCGAAGUCGCUGAG